This 806-nucleotide unclassified non-coding RNA is filed under the name Hevea brasiliensis (rubber tree). Lineage: Eukaryota; Viridiplantae; Streptophyta; Magnoliopsida; Malpighiales; Euphorbiaceae. The record is from RNAcentral.
GAAAAUGUUAAUAAACAUAACUUCAAGAAUAAUAAUUUAUUUUCAUUUAUGGAGUGAAGUGUUCAUUAUGUAAAAAUUGAUCCUAUAUAUCUGUAAGUUAACAAACAAGGAAGCUUAGAUAGUUUUCCUAAACUCAUUGGUCACUGAUUUAAAAGCUAAGUUUGACUGAAUCCUCACUUUUCAAUCACUUAUAAGCUUGUCUCAUUUUUCAGGUGUUAUUUGUCAGAUCUUUUCACUUAGUUUUUGAGUGUAUUAGAUUGAUCAAAUUAUCUGAAUUUAAUUAGUUUUGACAUGUCCAGGCUAAGUUUUUCAUUAUUUUCCAUUCAUAAAAUCUCAAUAAGAAAACAAAUAAAUGAUUUUUCAUUCAUUGGAUUUAGUGAUAAUGACUAGAUAUAAAAGAUUAUACUCCGAUAGCUCUUUGGCAUUUGGAUAAAGAAAUUAUUGAACUUAUGUAUGCAGAAAUGAAUGAACAAAUAAGAUCCCCUAAGAGAAGAAGAAAGAACAAAUAAAAUGACUUCUAAUUUCUUUGUUCCUCCCUUCCUUAAUAAAUUUUUUCCUUUAUUCAUUCUUGUUAAAUAAUUAAAAAUAGAAAAGUUUUUGAUGUUAAGGCUAAGUGCAACACACUGGAAGAACAAUUUAACCUCAUAGCCAGUGUCCUAAUUCUUGUUCCAUAGAUUUUAGAGUUCAACAAUCUCCUUCUCUUGACAUGAAUACCUAAGCUAUUGGCUUUGUUCCUUGAUCCAAACAAACGAAAAGCCUAAUGCAAGAAGAACAAACAUGUUAUAUUACCCCAAACCUCCCUUUUU